RNAcentral lists this long non-coding RNA (3428 nucleotides) under Panax ginseng (ginseng). RNAcentral describes it as "long non-coding RNA (PGIN_LNC001078)". The record is from RNAcentral. Lineage: Eukaryota; Viridiplantae; Streptophyta; Magnoliopsida; Apiales; Araliaceae.
UUAAUUUACAUACAUCAAAGUUUACUUUCCCAGGUACGUGACCUUCAAAAUACAUUCCUUACAAUACCUGACAAUAGAUUCCAUUGUCUUACUAACUAUAACCAUUAACUCAUACUAAUUCUCAUUCGAACAGCUUUUCUUUUCCCUUGUUCGUGCCUGAGCCUUCAGGUCGAUCGUAGGUAACUGAAAACAUUUAGUUUAAGCAAGGAUGAGCAUUUGAGUGCCCAGCAAGUAAUAGCAAUUAUAUAUAUAAGCUGAAAGAAUAUAAGUAUUCUCUUUACAUAACACUUCUACAACGAAUCAAAAGUUGUGAAGUAAUCUGUACUGAUAAAAGAUUCACAUAACAACUCUCUUUCAAUUUCUUGAAAUUAGGCUCCACCCAUGAAUAGGGUUUAAGAAACAUACUAUGAACAUUGUUUUUCAUUUUCGAAAAGGUUUAGCAGAAAUUCAUCCGCAAACCGUCAUAACUUACGGGCACGGAGGGUGAUCAGCCCCGUUGUACCCUGUAUUGAUCAAUACUACAUAACUUGAACGAAAUUCAUCGCUCACCCUUUGUCCGCCGAAGCGCAUAAAAAUUUUCCCAUUAUCGGGAUGUUCAUACAUGCCUGGUUCCAAACCCGAAGGUUUUUAAUCUUGCUCAACAAUAAUAUGUAAUUCAACAUAUAUGUAUACGGGUAAUUGACAAAGGUAUAUCAACAUGUGAAUAAAUGCCAUGAUUAUCCAAGUGGGGACACUUGUAUAACCAUUUAGAAAUCAACUUAACAGAAUAUAUAUCUGAGCUAACAUGUUGAUAAUCAAAGCGUACAUAAUCUGUACAGGAAUAGAAUAAUUCUGAAACUUCUUACUCAUGUCCAUUGCAUAAAGGAAAUGCAAAGGUAAGAUACUUGCCUGAUUCGCUGAUUACAAAUCUCAACUUAGGUUUUAUCUCUUUAUCACAACCUAUCAAUAAUCAGAUCAUUCGUUCGAUUAGAACAAUAUAUCAUAACACAUAGUACUGUCUAUUACAGUCAGCACAUAGUCUAAUCACGUCAUCACAUAAUCGCAGUGAUCAUACUUUUAGUUCAUAUUCUAUACUUGAAAUAUUUUUAUACAUUUUUCAAAUAUCUCAUCCAUGCUCUUACAGAAGUCUUUUCUUUCUAUUAUAGGGUCUGACAUUUGUCGGCGUACCGACAGCUUUAUCGGGUAAAUACUGAGUCUAAGACUCUUAUCCUAUACCUCAACAUCUGUAAAUAUCAAACAUUUUAUUUUUAAUCAUUUUCGAAUUUUCCAGAAAUUGAAAAAUUUAAAAUAAUUCAAAUCUGUCACUACCGGGCCUAUAGUGAUAUAACUGUUACUAUAGGUGUUCCUCAAAACUUCAUAACUUCAUAAUCGGUUCUCAAGUCAGCUAGUUUGGCCGGCUAUAACUUUCAAACAUCGGAAUCAUAAUUAAAUGAUUUAAACAUUAAACAAUUCCAUUAUCAUUAAUAAUUAAUUUAUAUUAAACUAUUAAUGAAACCAUUGCCAAAAUAUAAAAGUUAUUUAUAAUAACUCAAACUAUUUUUAAAACAUUUAUAUUACCCUUAAAUGAUUUUUAAAACAAUUAAAAUCAUUUUUAAAUAAUCACCAUUAAUAUAUAAAUAUUAAUGUACUAUUCAUCCAAAUAUUAAAAGUCAUUAAUUAUAACUUAAAAUAUUUUUAAAUCCUUAAUAUCCUCUUUAAAUGAUUUUUAAAUAAAUAAAACCAUUUUUAAACUAUUUAUUUAAUAAUAAUUAUUAAAUAAACUAAAUAUCAUUAAUAUUAUCUUAAUAUCAUUAAUAUUAAAUUAUUAAUGAAAUUAUCCUUUAAAUAUUAAAAGUUAUAUUUUAUAACUUAAAAUAUUUUUAAAUACCUUAAUUUCAUUUAAAAUGAUUUUUAUAAUAUUAAAAUCAUUUUUAAACUAAAUUAUUUAAUAUAAUCAUUAAAUAACUUUAAUAUCAUUAAUAUAUAAUUAAUUAAUGAAAUUCAUCACAAAAUAUUAAAAGUCAUGGGAAAUAACUUAAAAUAUUUUCUUAUACCAUAAUAUAAUUUUUCAUGAUUUUUCAUGAAUUAAAACUAUUUUUAAAUCAUUUAUUUAAUAUUAUAAUUAAAUAAAUAAAUACCUUUUAUAUUCCAAAAAUAUUAAAUAUUUAUGAAAUAUACUCAAAAUAAUUAAAAACUAUUUUUCAGACUUUAAAAUAAUUUUUCAUAAUUUAUUUGGUAUUUUUAAUAAUUAAAAUCUAAUUUUUCUAAUUUUUAAAUCAUUUUUCGGAAAAUCAGAAAUUAAAAUAAUUAAAACUGUCGCUAAAGGCCCCUAUAGUGACAGAAGUGUCGCUAUAGGUGUUCUUGAGCCUACCCAGAUCUUCAUAAGGCAGAACCGAGUGGCCUACUUUGACCGUGAAUAACUCUCUCAUCUUAACGAAUUUGGACAAUCUAUAAAUUGGGUCUUGUAGAGGAAAUACAAGACUACAAGAUCCAACAAUCAUAACCUCUAAACAAACAUCAGAUCUGGGAUAAAUCAGCCAUCAAAGUAGCUACCAAAGCUGUUCUUCACGAAGAACAGUUCGAGGUGCCUACUUUGGACCUCUAUAACUUGAUGAUCGUGUAACGUUUAUGUGAUCUAUCAAUUCCAGUGUGUAGACAACAUGUAGGACUACAACUCUAACACUUAACAUCAUCAUAAAAACAAGAAAUCAAGCAUCUAAAGUAUGGUCAAACCUUGUCAGAAAAAUUAACACUUAGAAAAUUCUGGGCUGCCCAGAAUUUUCUGGUCAAUGCCGGUCAACCCACUUUGACCUUAAAUAACUCUUAAUCCGUAAUAUAUAUGGACCUGAUUCUUUUUGGAGGUUAAAUACCACAUAACAAGAUACACAUAUCAACCUUUAGAACACAAAACACAUUAAAGAUAACCGAGAUAUAAGGCCUGACAUUUUCCAAAAUAAUAUUUUCUGGACACUUAGAAUAUUUUCUGGGUUUGAAGAACAGCCGGUCAAUGCCGGUCAACCCACUUUGACCGCUUAUAAAUCCCGAUCUACAAUAGCUAUGAACUUUAUUCCUUUUGGAGAUUAAAGACCACAUAUCAGGCUACCUAUAACAACUUUUAAAAAACAAAACUCGAGAUCGACCAAAGAUUUAUAGCCUCUGACAUUUGGUGAAAAAUAACAGAAUUCGGUUUUUCCAACUUGUUUAAAUCUUCAAAUUCGUGCACUUUGAUGUUAUGGGUUCAUGAUUUUACAACCCAGAACAUUAAUAGACUCUCUAUUACACUACUUUAAACAAUCAAUUGCAUCAAUUAACAUCGAAUCGAAGGAUUUCUAGAAUUUAGGAUUUCCUACCUUUUCAAGCUUGAUUUUUGAUUUCUGGCUUCUUGAUGCUUCUGAUUUGUUGUUUGUGAUGGUUGGGCUUUGUUUAGGGACUGAUAUGCUACAAUAAUU